AGGGAUCUCUUUGGGGAUCACUUCAUAGUGCAUUCCCGGGGUUUUUCUCCCCCUAAAAUUCUGGGGAAUAUUUUCACCACGAGGGGGAGUUAGUUUUAAUCCCCUGACGGGAAGCGGCUCACAAGUUUUUUGCUUGAGAUUUUUGAUGACCGUUCUGACUCUUUUUUUUUCCGAGGGUUGAGAGGAGGAUCACAAGGUAUGAUUAAA
This is a small nucleolar RNA of Penaeus monodon (black tiger shrimp), 207 nucleotides long. RefSeq annotates it as small nucleolar RNA U3. Lineage: Eukaryota; Metazoa; Arthropoda; Malacostraca; Decapoda; Penaeidae. The transcript has a single exon. The record is from RefSeq and is a predicted model, not a curated record.